This 210-nucleotide ribosomal RNA is filed under the name uncultured bacterium. Its description in RNAcentral is "partial 16S ribosomal RNA". It matches the Rfam family "Bacterial small subunit ribosomal RNA", at positions 1289 to 1500 of the family's 1533-position model. The record is from RNAcentral.
CAGUUCGGAUUGAAGGCUGAAAUUCGCCUUCAUGAAGCCGGAAUUGCUAGUAAUGGCAGGUCAGCAUACUGCCGUGAAUACGUUCCCGGGCCUUGUACACACCGCCCGUCACACCAUGAGAGUUGGGAAUACCCGAAGCCUGUGAGCUAACGCAAGAGGCAGCAGUCGAAGGUAGAAUCAAUGAUUGGGGUGAAGUCGUAACAAGGUACC